Molecule: ribosomal RNA, 253 nt
Filed under: uncultured bacterium
Lineage: Bacteria
Description: partial 16S ribosomal RNA
Rfam family: Bacterial small subunit ribosomal RNA
Source: RNAcentral
UACGGGGGGGGCAAGCGUUGUUCGGCAUUACUGGGCGUAAAGGGCUCGUAGGCGGCCAACUAAGUCCGACGUGAAAUCCCCAGGCUUAACCUGGGAACUGCGUCGGAUACUGGAUGGCUUGAAUUCGGGAGAGGGAUGCAGAAUUCCAGGUGUAGCGGUGAAAUGCGUAGAUAUCUGGAGGAAUACCGGUGGCGAAGGCGGCAUCCUGGACCGGCAUUGACGCUGAGGCGCGAAAGCCAGGGGAGCAAACGGG